GGACCUGCCGCGGGACCCCAGAUCGUCGGCGCCGGAGUGAGGGGCAGGGCGCACCGGGCAGGGCGCGCGGGCCUGGGCGCACCGUGCGGCCGCCACCCCACCAUGCUCAAGCGCUGCGGCCGUCGCCUGCUGCUGGCGCUGGCGGGCGCGCUGCUCGCCUGCCUGUUGGUGCUCACGGCCGACCCUCCGCCGCCCCCGGUGCCCGCUGAGCGCGGUCGGCGCGCGCUGCGCAGCCUGGCGGGCCCCUCGGGGGCGGCCCCAGCUCCUGGGCUGGAGGCGGCGGCGGCACCCGGGGUGCUAGUCCGCGAGGUGCACAGUCUGUCCGAGUACUUCAGCCUGCUGACCCGCUCUCGUAGAGACGCGGGCCCACCGCCCGGCAGCGUCCCCCGCCCCGCAGACGGCCAUCCGCGGCCCCCGGCCGAGCCACUCACGCCGCACGACGUCUUCAUCGCGGUCAAGACCACCAAAAAGUUUCACCGCGCGCGCCUCGACUUGCUGCUGGAGACGUGGAUCUCGCGCCACAAGGAGAUGACGUACAUUUUCACGGACGGGGAAGAUGAAGCCCUGGCAAGGCGCACGGGCAACGUGGUCAAUACUAACUGCUCGGCUGCCCACAGCCGCCAGGCGCUGUCCUGCAAGAUGGCCGUGGAGUAUGACCGCUUCGUCGAAUCGGGGAGGAAGUGGUUCUGCCACGUGGAUGACGAUAACUACGUGAACGUGCGCGCCUUGCUGAAGCUGCUGGCCAGCUACCCGCACACGCAGGACAUCUACCUCGGCAAGCCCAGCCUGGACAGGCCCAUCCAGGCCACAGAGAGGGUCAGCGAGAGCAAGGUGCGGCCUGUCCACUUCUGGUUUGCCACCGGCGGGGCUGGCUUCUGCAUCAGCCGGGGGCUGGCCCUGAAGAUGAGCCCUUGGGCCAGCGGAGGCCACUUCAUGAGCACGGCCGAGCGGAUCCGGCUGCCGGACGACUGCACCAUCGGCUACAUCGUGGAGGCUCUGCUGGGCGUGCCCCUCAUCCGCAGCGGGCUCUUCCACUCCCACCUGGAGAACCUGCAGCAGGUCCCCGCCUCCGAGCUCCAUGAGCAGGUGACCUUGAGCUACGGCAUGUUUGAAAACAAGCGGAAUGCUGUCCACAUUAAGGGGCCCUUCUCAGUGGAGGCCGACCCAUCCAGGUUCCGCUCCAUCCACUGCCACCUGUAUCCGGACACACCCUGGUGUCCCCACACUGCCAUCUUCUAGCAGCUACGGCUGAAACCCUGUCCCCGGGCACCCCUGGUAUCCAAAGGGCCCGGGGACCCCUGUUGUGCCGCCCUGGCCUUGGCAUUCGAGGCUCCCCCAGGGCUGUGCGUGCGUGUGUGUGUGUGUGUGUGUGUACUGUGUGCCCAUCCGUGUAGCAGACUGCUGGGCAGCUCUGCUGUGCCGAGGAACAGGCGAGGCACCGCCUGUCUUUCCAUGCUCCACCCCAGAAGGAUUUGUGAGUCAGAGGUCACUCUGAGGGCAGGUUUAUUAUCAUUCUGGGGUCUUUGGGCAGCAUGGGGACCAGGGGCUGCUCUGCAGCGAGGUGCAGGUGCCUUUCCCUCCUGCUGAGCGCAGGCCCAGCGCUGCAGGCGCCUGCCCCCUGGGAUCCUGGCUCCUUAGAGCCCCCAGGACAACUCACCCUGCUCAGUGCUGCGAGAAAGCUGGGUUUGGGGGAUGUGACCCGAGUCCCCUCCUCCCACUGAGCUUUGGCCUGGGUACCUGGGGAACAGCAGCCCCAGUGGCCUUGCCGCUGGGUGGAGUGCGGCACAAUCCCGGGCAGGGGUCUUCCCGCUCUCUUAGCCAUCUUCCCUUUGUGACGGGGAGUCAGCUGAGGAUCUUAUCUCCUCUCCAAAGUAGAGAGAAAGUCACCCAUAGUGGGUGUGUCUGUAAAUAUUGUGACAGUAUUUUUUACUGUGCUUCUUUUUCGAAAGGGGGUGGGUACAAAGUAGGGAGUUUUUGUCUGUGUUUUCGGGGGGUUGGGGAGGGCGCUAUUUUAUCUUUUCUGUGGAUCAGAAAAAGCAGCAGCCGAACUUGGGAUAAUCUUUGUUGUUAAAGCUGAUGGAAAUGUCUAACACUCUAUGUAUUUAUAUGUCGUGGUAUCUGGCCUCUCCCUGCCCACCUCCUGCAUAGAACCUGUCUCCUACCAGUCCAGCUCGGCGCACCUGACCAGCGAGGGCUGGCCACAUCUCCUCCUGGCUCAUCCCAGUGAAAUCCCCAGAUCCUUGCCAAGUGAUCGCUCACUUCCUGUUUGAACGUGGUAGUCACAGCUGAGCCCCAGAUCAGCAGCCGGCGGUCACUGGGAACUUGCUGGGAAUGCAGAUUCCUGGGCCGCCCCAGCCCAUCUAGGACUCCAGCUAAACCUAAGACGAGAGACAAUUCACGCUGUCCCCACAUGGCACCGCAGAAGCACGGAGCCCCAGAUGCCUCCACUCCUGGGUGCUUAGCAGCCCCCCAUCAGAGCUUAUGUAUCCUGGGCCCCCUCCCCCAGAAGCCAAGUCAAAACGGAAACCACUGGACCAGGCUGCUGGCGGCGGUUGAGUUGCUGCUCAGACCACUGGUAAGGACUCCAGCGAGGCCAGUGGGCAGCGAGGCGCCCGGGGAAGCACUGGGAACCCCGCCUCGGGUUACAGUGGGGACUCAGGAGAUGCUCCUCCUGGAGACACACCAUCCUCCCAUUUGGCCUCUCUGACCCGCUCCAACAGCCCUGCCCAGGGCCAGGUCUGUCACCUCUCCUGCUGGCUAGAGACGGGGCCCUCCUCACAGGAAUCCGCGUCUCCUCAGGCCCCUCCAGCGCAAGCCCAGAUUGCAAAUGAGGCUUUCAAGCCGUCGAGACCACCGCUCC
This is an RNA transcript of Lagenorhynchus albirostris (white-beaked dolphin), 2860 nucleotides long. It is a transcript of the gene named LFNG O-fucosylpeptide 3-beta-N-acetylglucosaminyltransferase, with no coding region annotated. The record is from RefSeq and is a predicted model, not a curated record. NCBI's taxonomy places the organism in Eukaryota, Metazoa, Chordata, Mammalia, Artiodactyla, Delphinidae. The transcript has 11 exons.